This 293-nucleotide unclassified non-coding RNA is filed under the name uncultured fungus. RNAcentral's name for it is "partial contains small subunit ribosomal RNA, internal transcribed spacer 1, and 5.8S ribosomal RNA". The stretch from base 1 to 73 matches the Rfam family "Eukaryotic small subunit ribosomal RNA", at positions 1759 to 1831 of the family's 1831-position model. Lineage: Eukaryota; Fungi. The record is from RNAcentral.
UCAAACUUGGUCAUUUAGAGGAAGUAAAAGUCGUAACAAGGUCUCCGUUGGUGAACCAGCGGAGGGAUCAUUACAGAGUGUAAAAACUCCCAAACCCCUGUGAACAUACCCUACUGUUGCCUCGGCAGGUCGCUGCUGCGCACCCCGCAGCGGCCUCACCCGGACGCGGGCGAGCCUGCCGGAGGCCCCAACCAAACUCUGUUUAGUGGAUGAAUCUCUGAGAAAACAUAACUAAAUACGUUAAAACUUUCAACAACGGAUCUCUUGGUUCUGGCAUCGAUGAAGAACGCAGC